CACCGCCCGUCACACCAUGGGAGUCAGUUGCUCCAGAAACGGCUGCGCUAACCCGCAAGGGAGGCAGGUCUUUAAGGAGUGGCUGGUAACUGGAGUG
Molecule: ribosomal RNA, 97 nt
Filed under: uncultured bacterium
Lineage: Bacteria
Description: partial 16S ribosomal RNA
Rfam family: Bacterial small subunit ribosomal RNA
Source: RNAcentral